AAUUUACAGGGUGAAGACAAUAAUCUUGUGAGAGGGACCUAGAGAAGGACAGAAGAAAGAGACUGGAGAUGUUGGCUGCAAUCCUCUUCACACUAGAAGGAAAGGAAGACACAGUAAGGAGCUGCUGACCCAUGCACCUUCCUGAAGGCAAACAAAGUUAUGUACAGAUGAGUGGACACUGAAGGAACACAGACUUCAUGCAUGUGAAGUCAUACCAUGUGAGAGAAAUUAUCUAGAUA
Molecule: long non-coding RNA, 239 nt
Filed under: Cyanistes caeruleus (blue tit)
Lineage: Eukaryota; Metazoa; Chordata; Aves; Passeriformes; Paridae
Description: lncRNA (ENSCCEG00000020301.1)
Source: RNAcentral